Molecule: small nucleolar RNA, 133 nt
Organism: Erinaceus europaeus (western European hedgehog)
Lineage: Eukaryota; Metazoa; Chordata; Mammalia; Eulipotyphla; Erinaceidae
Source: Ensembl
GUGCAGACUUGAUCACUAACAAUGCAUGUUGUUGCAGAAGUGAAGAGAACCAGGUUUGCUAAAAUAACUGUGGUGAUAGAAAUGUAUUUGCUUCAGAAGCUACUGAAGUGGCCUGCUCUACCCUACCCUAUUA